This 410-nucleotide ribosomal RNA is filed under the name Macrargus rufus. RNAcentral's name for it is "partial 16S ribosomal RNA". Lineage: Eukaryota; Metazoa; Arthropoda; Arachnida; Araneae; Linyphiidae. The record is from RNAcentral.
AUUAUUAUAAGUAAAAUCUGCUCCAUGUUAUAUAAAUAGCCGCAGAAUAUUAACUGUGCUAAGGUAGCAUAAUCAUUUACCUUAUAAUUAAAGGUUUGUAUGAAUGAUUUAACAUUUAAAUUUCUUUUUUAUUACUUUUUAUCAAAUUUAAAUUAAACAUAAAAAUGUUUUUAUAUAAAAAAAAGACGAUAAGACCCUAUUGAACUUAUCUACUGUUAAGCUGGGGAAGCUGGUUAAAUAUAAUUUUAACUUAAAACUUAACAAUAAUUUCUAAUAAAAUUAUAUUAACAAGUUACCAUAGGGAUAACAGCGUAAUAUCAUUUUAAAGCUCAUAUUAAAAAUUAAGUUUACGACCUCGAUGUUGAAUUAGAAUUACUUUAAAACGCAAUAGUUUAUAAAAGUGGGUCUGU